UACGAAGGGUGCAAGCGUUGUCCGGAAUUAUUGGGCGUAAAGAGCUCGUAGGCGGUUUGUCGCGUCUGCUGUGAAAACUCGAGGCUCAACCUCGAGACGCCGAUGGAAACCAUUUGGCCAGAGUCCGGAAGAGGAGAGUGGAAUUCCUGGUGUAGCGGUGAAAUGCGCAGAUAUCGGGAGGAACACCUAUGGCGAAGGCAGCUCGCUGGGACGUUACUGACGCUGAGACGCGAAAGCGUGGGGAGCAAACAGG
RNAcentral lists this ribosomal RNA (253 nucleotides) under uncultured bacterium. Its description in RNAcentral is "partial 16S ribosomal RNA". It matches the Rfam family "Bacterial small subunit ribosomal RNA", at positions 524 to 776 of the family's 1533-position model. The record is from RNAcentral.